AACGCGAAGAACCUUACCUGGGCUCGAAAUGUAGUGGAAUCGGGUGGAAACAUCCGCGUCUCGCAAGAGACUGCUAUAUAGGUGCUGCAUGGCUGUCGUCAGCUCGUGUCGUGAGAUGUUGGGUUAAGUCCCGCAACGAGCGCAACCCUUAUUGCCAGUUGCCACCGGGUUAUGCCGAGCACUCUGGCGAAACCGCACAGGAUAACUGUGAGGAAGGUGGGGAUGACGUCAAGUCCUCAUGGCCUUUAUGUCCAGGGCUACACACGUGCUACAAUGCAUGGUACAGAGGGACGCAAGACCGCGAGGUGGAGCAAAUCCCACAAAACCAUGCCCAGUUCAGAUUGAAGGCUGCAACUCGCCUUCAUGAAGCCGGAAUCGCUAGUAAUGGCGCAUCAGCUACGGCGCCGUGAAUACGUUCCCGGGCCUUGUACACACCGCAUAC
Molecule: ribosomal RNA, 442 nt
Filed under: uncultured bacterium
Lineage: Bacteria
Description: bacterial SSU rRNA
Rfam family: Bacterial small subunit ribosomal RNA
Source: RNAcentral